GCAUCGGUGGUUUAGUGGUAAAAUUAGCCGUUGCCAAGCCUUCACAGUGACAGUACAACAACUUCAAAGUGACAGCACAGUUUCGGCUAGCCCCGGGUUCGAUUCCCGGCCGAUGCA
Molecule: non-coding RNA, 117 nt
Organism: Boeremia exigua
Lineage: Eukaryota; Fungi; Ascomycota; Dothideomycetes; Pleosporales; Didymellaceae
Source: the annotation of a RefSeq genome assembly